This 465-nucleotide ribosomal RNA is filed under the name uncultured bacterium. RNAcentral's name for it is "partial 16S ribosomal RNA". It matches the Rfam family "Bacterial small subunit ribosomal RNA", at positions 28 to 507 of the family's 1533-position model. The record is from RNAcentral.
GACGAACGCUGGCGGCGUGCUUAACACAUGCAAGUCGAACGGAAAGGCCCCUUUGGGGGUACUCGAGUGGCGAACGGGUGAGUAACACGUGAGUAACCUGCCCUUGACUUCGGGAUAACUUCAGGAAACUGGGGCUAAUACCGGAUAGGAAUCCUUGCUGCAUGGUGGGGGUUGGAAAGCUUCGGCGGUUUUGGAUGGACUCGCGGCUUAUCAGCUUGUUGGUGGGGUAGUGGCUUACCAAGGCUUUGACGGGUAGCCGGCCUGAGAGGGCGACCGGCCACAGUGGGACUGAGAUACGGCCCAGACUCCUACGGGAGGCAGCAGGGGGGAAUAUUGCACAAUGGGCGGAAGCCUGAUGCAGCAACGCCGCGUGCGGGAGGACGGGCUUCGGGUUGUAAACCGCUUUCAGCAGGGGCGAAGCUUGUGGUGACGGUACCUGCAGAAGAAGCACCGGCUAACUACGUG